UCCCUCUCAGGGUCACACCUGGAGAGUUUCCAGUACUCUACCAGUCUCGGCUACGGGAGGGAGAGUCAAGCAGAGAAAUACCCAUUCCAUUCUUAGCUUCGCCAGUGGCUAGCGAGUGGAAGGCAAUCUGCUACAAGU
Molecule: small nucleolar RNA, 138 nt
Filed under: Ornithorhynchus anatinus (platypus)
Lineage: Eukaryota; Metazoa; Chordata; Mammalia; Monotremata; Ornithorhynchidae
Source: RNAcentral